Molecule: ribosomal RNA, 397 nt
Filed under: uncultured bacterium
Lineage: Bacteria
Description: partial 16S ribosomal RNA
Rfam family: Bacterial small subunit ribosomal RNA
Source: RNAcentral
AUACGUAGGGGGCGAGCGUUGUCCGGAAUGAUUGGGCGUAAAGGGCGCGUAGGCGGCGCGGUAAGUCUGGAGUGAAAGUCCUGCUUUCAAGGUGGGAAUUGCUUUGGAUACUGCCGCGCUUGAGUGCAGGAGAGGUUAUCGGAAUUCCCGGUGUAGCGGUGAAAUGCGUAGAGAUCGGGAGGAACACCAGUGGCGAAGGCGGGUAACUGGACUGCAGCUGACGCUGAGGCGCGAAAGUGUGGGGAGCAAACAGGAUUAGAUACCCUGGUAGUCCACGCUGUAAACGAUGAAUACUAGGUGUGGGGGGUAUCGACUCCCUCUGUGCCGCAGUUAACACAAUAAGUAUUCCGCCUGGGGAGUACGGCCGCAAGGUUGAAACUCAAAGGAAUUGACGGGG